Molecule: long non-coding RNA, 5266 nt
Organism: Loxodonta africana (African savanna elephant)
Lineage: Eukaryota; Metazoa; Chordata; Mammalia; Proboscidea; Elephantidae
Exons: 4
Source: RefSeq, a predicted model, not a curated record
UUUCCAGUAGUAGUAGUAUUCCCAGGAAGCUUCUGCUGAUACUCCAAGUCUUGCUAAGAAGCCCCAGUGACCACUCCCCUUUCUGGGGAGAGCAGACAAAGGUAGUUCUCUGUUUAACUGUCUGUCUCAAUAUUAGAUCAGAAGCUACUUGAGAAUAAGGACUGCAUCUCAAUCUUUGAACUUCAAAGCUUGAGAGAGUCUGACACACAGCAGGCACCCAAUGAACACUCACUGAAGGAAAUAAUGUGUAGUAGUAACUUCCGCAGCCUGAACAAGCCCCCCCCCCCCCCGCGCUAAACAGGGCACGAUGUUAUUGAGGACACACUCACAGGUGCACCUGGCCUGCAACCAACUCGACAAAAAGCCUGCGAUCUGGGUCAAGACAAGCUUGUGUGAAUGGGAAAGUCUCGCUGCUUUUAAGGCCCAAGAGCCACGCCACAGCUGUGCCAGGACCCCCAGGAAGUGGGCAACUGCUCACAGGGAGGUCUAAGCAAAGAAACGUGGAUGAGUGAGCACAAACUUAUCCACACCAGAGGAAAAGAAUCUAAGAUUCCACCCUGUUCCUCAUGCCUUAAUUAGGGCCAUUAUUCCCCAGCACGAUGCUGUACUAGCAUAUGAAAGCCAGCCUCAAAACAACGGACUUCCCCAGGUGAUGGAAACGGAUUGAAGGAGCCUCCGUUAGGAAUCUGUGCAUGGACUUUCCCAGGUGAUGGAAAUGGACAUCUCUAACGGGUGCCCAACCUCACGGGCUGCUCGUUAGGAAUCUGUGCAUGGACUUUCCCAGGUGAUGGAAAUGGACAUCUCGAACAGGUUGCCGAACCCUACUACGGACCGGCUCGUUAGGAAUCUGUGCAUUUUCUGCAUGUAAAUGACCGAGAGGAGCCUCUGUAGUCUUUUCCAAUCCACGGCUCACUUAGCCAGGAGGCAGAAGAGAUGGCAAGCCUGGAAUGCGUACCACAGCACUAGAAUUCUUGUUAUCAAGACUGCUGAUGCCGCAGGCUCUUAGGAAACGAGACGUCAUGUGAAGGUCUACAGGAUGCGGAACAGUUUCUCUCUAUGAACGCCGUGAGGACAAACGAGUCACCUGUGUAAAGGGCCUGCAAGAGCGUCGGAAGCACAGAGGCGGUGAGAACGUGAGACCAGGAGAGACAGUGAGAGAGGCCAAGGAGGUGGUGAGAACGUGAAAACAGGAGAGACACUGAGAAAGGCCAAGGAGACGGUGAGAAUGUGAGACCAGGAGAGACACUGAGAAAGGCCAAGGAGGCAGUGAGAACGUGAGACCAGGAGAGACACUGAGAAAGGCCAAGGAGGCAGAGCCUCUCUUCUUGCUCCCCAUUUCCAUCUUGGCCUCUCCUGACCAUCUUACCAGACUCUGCGCUCUGGAAAACACUAGAAACGUAUUCAUGCAAACACAUAAACAACUGAUGAGGGCUUAAAAUGAGUCCCCUCCACGGUCCACCUGCAUUUUAACAUAAAUCAGAAUUAAAGAAAAUGACAGGUUAAUAAUGGAAUUUUUAGCAUGAUGACAAAAAAAAAAAAAAAAGCACUGGGGAAAUGGAGGGGUCGUGGAGAAACCAAGCCACCAAGGGGACCCAGCCUCUGCAGACCCGGAUGGGGAGCACCGUGAAGGUUUCACAAGCACUGCGGGAACGGGAUGGUUGACGGGACCCUGGAGAGUAUCUGCCAGGAGAGCUAGCGUGGCCGACCAGCAGAGGACCACCUGCAGUCUGCCUUCUUUUCCUGGUGCCCUGACACCAACAGUCCUGAGCACCAGGAUGCAGCUUGAAGAGCACACCAGCCCUUCGCACGGGGGGCAAGCAGAGGGCUCUGGCAGCACGCAGGCAGAGAAGGAGCUGGCCCGGACCCAGCCUUCUCCCUCUCUCAGCACUGCCUGCUCAAGAGCCUGUCCCUGGGAGGCCAAAAGACCUGUUCUCAGUUCCUAGGGAAAGCAGUACCCCCAGUGACCAUGAUUCCUACUCAGAGGGCGUGGCACUGUACCAGGCCUUCCCUGCACAUUUCAUGUAUCUCACCGAGUUCAGGAGGCAGAAGGGCCUAGCGGACACGGCCUCUGGGGUCAGAUGGGAUAAAAUCAAACAUAUUUAUAAAACCCAUCACCCAAAUACACAUAGGUGGCAUUCAUAAAAACCAAACCGAACCCAGUGCCGUCGAGCCGAUUCCGUCUCAUAGCGACCCUAUAGGACAGAGUAGAACUGCCCCAUAGAGUUUCCAAGGAGCGCCUGGCGGAUUCAAACUGCUGACCCUUUGGUUAGCAGCCGUAGCACUUAACCACUACACCCCCAGGGUUUCCGGCAUUCAUACAGGGCAGUGAUUAAUGUUACCCUCAAUAAUAAUAAUUUAAUCUGCACUACAAACCCUGCUGGUACAGUAGUUAAGCACUAGGUUGAUAACCCAAAGGUCAGCGGUUUGAACCCACUAGCCACUCUACAGGGGAAAAAUGUGGCAGCCUGCUUCCAUAAAGAUUACAGCCUUGGAAACCCUAUGGGGCAGUUCUACUCUGUCCUACAGGGUUGCCAUGUAUGUGUGGGUAUGUACAAACAUUAAACGGCCAGUGAUGUCAUCUCCAUUUUACACAAGAAGAAACUGAGACUCUGAGAAGUUAACGUGUGCAAGCUGGCCUAGCUAGCUAGAGUAAGUAAAAAAACUAGAAUUUAAACUGGGCUUUUUCCCCAAAUCAUUCCCCCCAUACCACUAGGCUGAAGGGAACAGCACAAAGGCGCUAGAUCCAGGGGACGGCGCACAGAGUAGUCCCGGGCCCAGCAGCUCCCACUCCAUCCUGUAGCUCCCGCCUGACUGACAGGACUCACUUCUAUGCCUGAGGCCUGUGGGGCUCUGGGGAACCAGGUGCCAUUCUGCCACUAUGCAGCGUUAGCAUCAUCCCAAGAUGCCAGGAAUUAAAAGCCAGAGUGGUAUGCAGGAGUGGAGGUGACCGGGAUCCAACCAGAUAAAGUGCAAAGCAGACAGGAGGCUUCAGGCCUGCAGAAGGCAGUGAGAUGGGAAGAAAAACUCCAGUCUAGACGGGGGCCCCACUGCAGGCCACCCCUUCAUGAUUUAUCUGUCCACUAACUAGCACAGAUGAACCAGGCUAGUGGUCUGUCCAGAGAUCUGGGGGAGGGAGUGGAACAGGGAGAGACAAAGAAAUCUAAAGACUGCUCCACAAGUAAGUGCUGGGUCCACAGCUACACUGUCAGUGUGGUACCAGAAUACUAAGACAAGAAACUGCUAGAAUUAACAUAAAAACUGGCCAGAGGUAGGUGGACCCUCUAGAGCCCAAAGAGAUGGAAGUAAAAGCAAACCACGUGUAGGAACAAGUCCACAGCCCAGGGACCACUCAUGGGACUUCACAGAAAAAAAAUGACCGCUGUCCACCAAAGAUGAGCUCAUGUUAAACAAACUACAAAUCACUGGGAGAAAGACGCACGGAGAGUGAGGGGUGGGGAGGAUGAGAGAGAACACACACAGUGGGAAAACGUGCACCCCAAGAACUAGAAACAAUAAGCAAUCUGAGAGAUAAAAAUUAAGUAUGUCCAAAAAUGACUAAAGACAUAAGAUACGUACAGAUGGCACAAUGAAAGAGAGGUGGGUCUGAAAAAGCACCCCAGACAAUUUCCAGAACUGAAAGAUCUUAUCAGUGCGACUAGUAAGCUGAAGCAGUUCCAAGCCUACACUCCCCUGCUGAGCUCCACCUCCCUGCUCCCGGGCAUGGCCACCGCCCUCCACCCUCCUCUCUCCACCCUCCUCUCCCCACCCUCCUCUCCGGCCUCCUCUCCCUCCAGCCCGACCUCACAGGCCCUUAAACCUCACACACAGAGGCCUCACACACAGCAGGCCGCCCACUCCUUCUCCACCGGCCUUGUCUUUCUUACUCAUCCUUAGGGCCUAGUUCCAGGAAGCUUUUCCUGGUUCUCCAGGCUGAACCAUUCACCCGAAGCACUUAGAGCGAGCACCUCUGCUGCCCUGUCUUAGUCGGCACACACCACGUAGCACGCUGUAAUGAAAUGACCUGUCUCCUCCCUUCCGACUGUGAGUUCUGGGUCACUUCCAUCUCAGAGUUCCCGGUGUCUACGACACUUGGCAAACACACACUUGAUCUGAACUAAAAGCUCUUGCCGUUAAUUCAAAAUAGCACGUCAUUCAUAUUUGGAGUAAAAAAUAUUACUGACUUCACUCUAACUGCAACACAGCAGCACAUUUUAAGUGUGAACGAAAAUUUACAGCCUGAGACUAAAUAUCACUCUUGUACCAUGAGAAUGACGGGUAUGAAAUUAAAUCCCACCAGAAGAAGAUAAACAAUGGACUUUUAAAAGGUGGGCUUGGGGAGGGGAUCAGAUAGUGUCUGUAAGUGCUGAUGAAAAAAGUCUUUCACAGGAACGUAGCUUUGAUCCUCUUAAUUUUCACUUGCUGCCGGGAACUAAAAAAAAAAAAAACGAAAUAUCCUAAAGAUCAAAACUAUUAUAGGUGUGUGACAGGCAGUUCUCUCUUAUUUCUUUAGAAAAGGAGAGAGCGACUCUCCAACGUUUGAAGUAAGAGCAUUUUUCUCAUUUACCAAAGAAAUGAGGCCUGAGGAGAAACGUAUUUCACAAUGUCAAAGGCACUGAGGUUUUCAUUAAAUCGAGAUAUGUUACAGAAACCUUAAACACUCCUGCACUCGGCAAAUUCUAACAUACCCAAAUCAGGACACUUCACAUAGCUAUGGUUUUACUGCUGGUUAUCAAAAGGGGCACAAAUUACUCACCGACAAUAAAUUCAAAAUUUCCUAUCCUUCUGCGGGCGGGGAAGAAUGUUCAAUACAUCUUCCUCACAGACAUGCGUGUGUACACACACACACACACACACACCUCACCCCCAGCUAUUAAUUAUUCCAAUUAGCAAAAGUCUCCAGGUCCUAUGCUAACGUUUUAUCUUUCAAUUAGAAGUGUAGUGAAAGUGCGAUUAUUAAAACUCCCAGACCUUAGCCAAGGGUUAAUAUGUACAGAAUACGAAAGUAGAGCAAAGAAAGAAUGACUCCCUUCAGUGAUGAAUUAAGUAUAUCCUCUCAUCACAGAGGGGAAAAAAAAAAAGGAAUUCUUUCCUUCUUAACAGGACCGUAUUACUAUCAUUAUCAAAGUAAUGCAUGCUCACUGUAAAGAAUACAAAAAGCAUACAGAAAAAAAGGAACCCAGUUGUUAAUCCUACCAGCCAGAGAUGAUUACCAUUAAUGCUGUAGUCUACUUCUCUUGGGUCAUUUUGCCCUCACGUGUGUGUUUAU